GACGAACGCUGGCGGCGUGCCUAAUACAUGCAAGUAGAACGCUGAAGGAGGAGCUUGCUUCUCUGGAUGAAUUGCGAACGGGUGAGUAACGCGUAGGUGACCUGCCUGGUGACGGGGGAUAACUAUUGGAAACGAUAGCUAAUACCGCAGAAGAGUAGAUGUUGCAUGACAUUUGCUUAAAAGGUGCAAUUGCAUCACUACCAGAUGGACCUGCGUUGUAUUAGCUAGUUGGUGGGGUAACGGCUCACCAAGGCGACCAUACAUAGCCGACCUGAGAGGGUGAUCGGCCACACUGGGACUGAGACACGGCCCAGACUCCUACGGGAGGCAGCAGUAGGGAAUCUUCGGCAAUGGACGGAAGUCUGACCGAGCAACGCCGCGUGAGUGAAGAAGGUUUUCGGAUCGUAAAGCUCUGUUGUAAGAGAAGAACGAGUGUGAGAGUGGAAAGUUCACACUGUGACGGUAUCUUACCAGAAAGGGACGGCUAACUACGUGCCAGCAGCCGCGGUAAUACGUAGGUGGCAAGCGUUAUCCGGAUUUAUUGGGCGUAAAGAGAGUGCAGGCGGUUUUCUAAGUCUGAUGUGAAAACCUUCGGCUUAACCGGAGAAGUGCAUCGGAAACUGGAUAACUUGAGUGCAGAAGAGGGUAGUGGAACUCCAUGUGUAGCGGUGGAAUGCGUAGAUAUAUGGAAGAACACCAGUGGCGAAGGCGGCUACCUGGUCUGCAACUGACGCUGAGACUCGAAAGCAUGGGUAGCGAACAGG
This 764-nucleotide ribosomal RNA is filed under the name uncultured Streptococcus sp. RNAcentral describes it as "bacterial SSU rRNA". It matches the Rfam family "Bacterial small subunit ribosomal RNA", at positions 28 to 776 of the family's 1533-position model. The record is from RNAcentral. Lineage: Bacteria; Bacillati; Bacillota; Bacilli; Lactobacillales; Streptococcaceae.